This is a long non-coding RNA of Penaeus indicus, 403 nucleotides long. RefSeq lists it as uncharacterized. Lineage: Eukaryota; Metazoa; Arthropoda; Malacostraca; Decapoda; Penaeidae. The record is from RefSeq and is a predicted model, not a curated record. The transcript is spliced from 3 exons.
UAACAAUUUAACUUUGCGUCUGUUUCCCACAACCAAAACAAAAGUCCGUCAUUAUCUCUGGAAAUUACUCUGAUUUUUUUUUCCAUUUUAAGUCGAUUUUCAGAUCCUGAGAGGUGAACACAAUUGCUAAGCAAGAUUUAAGUGGAAGUUACAACGAUAUUAAAGUUUAUGCCGGCACUGAGGCAAGCCUUAAAAAGAUGUAAGGCAAGUGAUUGACGCUGCCCAGUGUCUAGCAUACACGGCACUUUACCUCACGCCGUCUUGGAAAGUGUCCGUUUCUAUAGCCAAUCUGUGCAUCAUGUCGUGCCUUGAGUGUCCGUGUGCGUGUUCCCGCAUAGCCAGUCUGGCUGUGUCCCCGGAGGUGUGCGUAGAGCGUGUCGGUCACACUGACACCGCGUAUCAA